This is a non-coding RNA of Acanthosepion pharaonis, 99 nucleotides long. The record is from the annotation of a GenBank genome assembly. NCBI's taxonomy places the organism in Eukaryota, Metazoa, Mollusca, Cephalopoda, Sepiida, Sepiidae.
ACGGUUAAAUCACGCUGAAACACCGGUUCUCGUUCGAUCACCGAAGUUAAGCAUCGUAGAGCCAGGUCAGGGACCGCUUGGGAACACCUGGUACUGUAA